AAAAAUAAAUAAUGUAAAUUCCUACUUCAACUAGGUUUUAUGUCAAUCUCGAAACAGGAAAAAUCUCUUUAAUGGUUUUUGUGAAAAACUAAUUUCUAGAGACAGUGGAAAAACAAUAAGCUAAGCCGGUUUUAAUAAACCUUUAUCAUUUUACGAUUAUACGAAACAACUACUACUGUUGCAAAGUAGGGUGAAGCGUGAGCUUGAACCAUCCCAUGAACAAGUCAGUGGCAUUGUUUUUUGCUUAAGGGCUAGGCUUGAAUUCGAGCCGACGGUUUUUGUUAAGUUCCAAGACAGUUGUAAGUCGUUUUUUAAGGUCCUAAUGUUAUGCUAACGACGGUAAGCCUCAAGCAGUUUCAGGUAUUACAACACUUACGCAUACGCCCUAUUACAAGGUAAUUAAACAACAACUAUAUGUCAGAGUGUUUUUUCGUAGCUCGAGAUUUUGCCUCUAAGUAAUUCAUUUUAAGAAGGUAAAACCCUACACAAAGGCAUUUGUUUUUUUGUGGCAUUAGGCUUCGCCCUAUAGUCGUUGAUAAAUGAGCUUGUCUUACAGUGCUAGCGCAGUACGAAACCAUAGCCGAAAAUCGAUAAUCACACGCGUCAACAGGUAGCUAUUUGUAGGUUAAUAUUUUUCAAGUGGGAUUUUAAAAUAGUAGCAACGUUGUUUUUUAGUACUCAUCUAAUUGUUUAUAUU
RNAcentral lists this small RNA (697 nucleotides) under Pleodorina starrii. RNAcentral describes it as "tscA". Lineage: Eukaryota; Viridiplantae; Chlorophyta; Chlorophyceae; Chlamydomonadales; Volvocaceae. The record is from RNAcentral.